RNAcentral lists this ribosomal RNA (337 nucleotides) under Calapnita bankirai. RNAcentral's name for it is "bacterial SSU rRNA". It matches the Rfam family "Eukaryotic small subunit ribosomal RNA", at positions 1473 to 1804 of the family's 1831-position model. The record is from RNAcentral. Lineage: Eukaryota; Metazoa; Arthropoda; Arachnida; Araneae; Pholcidae. RNAcentral also lists the same sequence under 1 other name.
UUAGAUGUUCGGGGCCGCACGCGCGCUACACUGAAGGAAACAGCGUGUCUUCUCCCCGUCCGACGGGGCCGGGUAAACCGCUGAAAUUCCUUCGUGAUGGGGAUAGGGGAUUGUAACUGUUCCCCUCGAACGAGGAAUUCCUUGUAGUCGCGGAUCAUCAGUCCGCGGCGAAUAAGUCCCUGCCCUUUGUACACAUCGCCCGUCGAUGCUACCGAUCGAACGGAUCAGUGAGGUCUUUGGACUGGCGUUCUCUACGGACUCUCGUCCGGAAGGAACCUGCCGGGAAGAUGACCGAACUCGUGCGUUUAGAGGAAGUAAAAGUCGUAACAAAGUUUCC